GUGAAUCAUCAAAUUUUUGAACGCAAAUUGCACUCCCUGGUAUUCCGGGGAGUAUGCCUGUUUGAGGGUCGUUAGAACAAAAAUCUAAGCAUCGCUCUUUUUUUUUAGGGGUGAUCGCGUCGGAAUUUAGCCGUCUUGCAAGUGUUAAUUCAUGUCAAAGUAUCUUGAACUUCAUCCAUCCGAUACUAUUAAAGCGUAUUUAAGAUCAACUUUGAUUAAAGACUCGCUGUGAACGUACCAGCUCAGUUUGUACUUUUGACUUGACUUCUUCAG
Molecule: unclassified non-coding RNA, 273 nt
Filed under: Glomeraceae sp.
Lineage: Eukaryota; Fungi; Glomeromycota; Glomeromycetes; Glomerales; Glomeraceae
Description: partial contains 5.8S ribosomal RNA and internal transcribed spacer 2
Rfam family: 5.8S ribosomal RNA (bases 1-71)
Source: RNAcentral